Acanthosepion pharaonis is the source of this 112-nucleotide non-coding RNA. The record is from the annotation of a GenBank genome assembly. Lineage: Eukaryota; Metazoa; Mollusca; Cephalopoda; Sepiida; Sepiidae.
UUAUGGCCAUAUCACAUUGAAACACUAAUCCUCGUAUGAUUACUGAAGCUAAGCAACGUCGAGCAUGGUCAGUACCUAGAUGGGUGACCGCUUGGGAAUAUCAGCUGCAGUA